GUAGGUUCCGAGCGUUAUCCGGAUUUACUGGGCGUAAAGCGCGUUCAGGCGGUUUGGCAAGUCGGGCAUGAAAUCUCUCGGCUCAACCGGGAGAGGUUGUCCGAUACUGCUGGACUUGAGGGCGGUAGAGGGUGGUGGAAUUCCGGGUGUAGUGGUGAAAUGCGUAGAUAUCCGGAGGAACACCAGUGGCGAAAGCGGCCACCUGGACUGCACCUGACGCUGACACGCGAAAGCUAGGGGAGCGAACGGGAUUAGAAACCCCGGUAGUCCUAGCUAUAAACGAUGUUGACUAGGUGUCGACGGUCUAAACCCCGCCGGUGCCGGAGCAAACGCAUUAAGUCAACCGCCUGGGGACUACGGCCGCAAGGUUA
RNAcentral lists this ribosomal RNA (371 nucleotides) under uncultured bacterium. RNAcentral describes it as "bacterial SSU rRNA". It matches the Rfam family "Bacterial small subunit ribosomal RNA", at positions 527 to 896 of the family's 1533-position model. The record is from RNAcentral.